CUCCCACCCUUGUGUAUUUUUCGCUGAAAAGCAGCUUCGGCGGGCCGUCAGACCUUAGCGAUAGGGUUCUGACAUCGGCUCUGUGCGAAUUUGCGUCCGCCGAAGAACCAACUCUUUACAAUUUGAAGUCUGAUAAACAGAAAAUAAAUCAAAACUUUCAACAACGGAUCUCUUGGUUCUGGCAUCGAUGAAGAACGUAGCGAAAUGCGAUAAGUAAUGUGAAUUGCAGAAUUCAGCGAAUCAUCGAAUCUUUGAACGCACAUUGCGCCUCCGGGUAUUCCUGGAGGCAUGCCUGUUCGAGCGUCGUUAAAGACCAUAAGGCUUUGCCUUGCGAUGAGCUUCUGGCGGUCUCUCCGGAGAAGCCAGUUCCUUCAAACUGAUUGGCGUCUGAAGUUAGUCCAAGCACAGCAAAAUGUGUUCUGAGUCUUAUGAACGAUUGCCCGUACCCAAAUCAUUAAUUGGUCGACCUCGGAUCAGGCAAGAUUACCCGCUGAACUUAAGCAUAUCAAUAAGCGGAGGAAAAGAAACCAACAGGGAUUGCCUCAGUAACGGCGAGUGAAGCGGCAAGAGCUCAAAUUUUAAAUCUGCCUUUUAGGCCGAGUUGUAAUUUGUAGAGGAACGUUCGGUGACGUCUAGGUCCGAGUCUUCUGGAAGGAAGCGCCGAUGAGGGUGAGAGCCCCGUACGACCAACGACUUAGCCAUGUGAACGUCCUUCGAAGAGUCGAGUUGUUUGGGAAUGCAGCUCANAGCGGGUGGUAAAUUCCAUCUAAAGCUAAAUAUUGGCCAGAGACCGAUAGCGCACAAGUAGAGUGAUCGAAAGAUGAAAAGCACUUUGGAAAGAGAGUGAAAAAGUACGUGAAAUUGUUGAAAGGGAAGCGCUCGCGACCAGACUUGAUCGUUCAGU
Molecule: ribosomal RNA, 904 nt
Filed under: uncultured fungus
Lineage: Eukaryota; Fungi
Description: eukaryotic LSU rRNA
Rfam family: Eukaryotic large subunit ribosomal RNA (bases 464-904)
Source: RNAcentral